CCAGCAUGCCUGCUGUGUCAGCCAGCAGAGGCUGACCUGGACACCUGCGGGGAAAAACUCCAGAGAAAUGGAUUCUGUGCCCACGAGUUCUGCCUGUUUUUUGCCAGCCACCUUCCUCAGCACAAUGAGGAUCAAGUAGGACUCCAGGGCUUUCUCCCAAGGGAUAUCCAAGAUGUAUCUCCUGGGCAGCAGAGCAGAGCUGCUGCAUCUGUGGCCAGAGCGGGGCCACCAUCUCCUGCUGUG
This is a long non-coding RNA of Neopelma chrysocephalum (saffron-crested tyrant-manakin), 243 nucleotides long. RefSeq lists it as uncharacterized. Lineage: Eukaryota; Metazoa; Chordata; Aves; Passeriformes; Pipridae. The transcript is spliced from 3 exons. The record is from RefSeq and is a predicted model, not a curated record.